GCGGGCGUGGCGGAAUGGCAGACGCGCUGGUCUUAGGAGCCAGUACCUUUGGUGUAAGGGUUCAAGUCCCUUCGCCCGCACCA
This 83-nucleotide transfer RNA is filed under the name Clostridium sp. RNAcentral's name for it is "tRNA-Leu". It matches the Rfam family "tRNA". From Rfam's summary of the family: Transfer RNA (tRNA) molecules are approximately 80 nucleotides in length. Their secondary structure includes four short double-helical elements and three loops (D, anti-codon, and T loops). The record is from RNAcentral. RNAcentral also lists the same sequence under 3 other names. Lineage: Bacteria; Bacillati; Bacillota; Clostridia; Eubacteriales; Clostridiaceae.